This 143-nucleotide small RNA is filed under the name Klebsiella pneumoniae. RNAcentral describes it as "RtT sRNA". It matches the Rfam family "RtT RNA". Rfam says of the family: This family represents a bacterial cis-regulatory element known as RtT RNA. The exact function of RtT is unknown although it is thought that it may be involved in changing the cellular response in relation to amino acid starvation. Lineage: Bacteria; Pseudomonadati; Pseudomonadota; Gammaproteobacteria; Enterobacterales; Enterobacteriaceae. The record is from RNAcentral.
UAUUCUGCCCCAUGGGGAAGGAUGAGAAGCUUCGACUAAGGUUCGACUAAGGUUCGACUCGAGCGAAGCGAGAGAACGUUGCCGCAGGCAACGGCCCGAAGGGCGAGGCGCUUUAGCGCCGAGUAAUCCUUCCCCCACCACCA